GCUUACGGCCAUACCAACCUGGCUAUGCCCGAUCUCGUGCUGAUCUCGGAAGCUAAGCAGGUUUGGGCCUGGUUAGUACUUGAUGGGAGACCGCCUGGGAUACCAGGUGCUGUAAGCU
This 118-nucleotide ribosomal RNA is filed under the name Carassius auratus (goldfish). The record is from RNAcentral. Lineage: Eukaryota; Metazoa; Chordata; Actinopteri; Cypriniformes; Cyprinidae.